GGUGGAGUGGUGUAGAGGUUAGCACACCCGACCGGACAUUGGGAGGUCCAGAGUUCAAAUCCUGGCUCCGCCG
Ixodes scapularis (black-legged tick) is the source of this 73-nucleotide non-coding RNA. The record is from Rfam. Lineage: Eukaryota; Metazoa; Arthropoda; Arachnida; Ixodida; Ixodidae.